GGGUAUAUAGCUUAGUUGGUAGAGUGUUUGCCUCACAUGAACAAGGCCCUGAGUUCAAUUCCCAGUACAACCA
This 73-nucleotide transfer RNA is filed under the name Ictidomys tridecemlineatus (thirteen-lined ground squirrel). Its description in RNAcentral is "Spermophilus tridecemlineatus (thirteen-lined ground squirrel) tRNA". It matches the Rfam family "tRNA". From Rfam's summary of the family: Transfer RNA (tRNA) molecules are approximately 80 nucleotides in length. Their secondary structure includes four short double-helical elements and three loops (D, anti-codon, and T loops). Further hydrogen bonds mediate the characteristic L-shaped molecular structure. tRNAs have two regions of fundamental functional importance: the anti-codon, which is responsible for specific mRNA codon recognition, and the 3' end, to which the tRNAs corresponding amino acid is attached (by aminoacyl-tRNA synthetases). tRNAs cope with the degeneracy of the genetic code in two manners: having more than one tRNA (with a specific anti-codon) for a particular amino acid; and 'wobble' base-pairing, i.e. permitting non-standard base-pairing at the 3rd anti-codon position. Lineage: Eukaryota; Metazoa; Chordata; Mammalia; Rodentia; Sciuridae. The record is from Rfam by way of RNAcentral.